UGGUGACCAGCGGAGGGAUCAUUACUGAGUUUACGCUCUACAACCCUUUGUGAACAUACCUAUAACUGUUGCUUCGGCGGGUAGGGUCUCCGUGACCCUCCCGGCCUCCCGCCCCCGGGCGGGUCGGCGCCCGCCGGAGGAUAACCAAACUCUGAUUUAACGACGUUUCUUCUGAGUGGUACAAGCAAAUAAUCAAAACUUUUAACAACGGAUCUCUUGGUUCUGGCAUCGAUGAAGAACGCAGCGAAAUGCGAUAAGUAAUGUGAAUUGCAGAAUUCAGUGAAUCAUCGAAUCUUUGAACGCACAUUGCGCCCGCCAGCAUUCUGGCGGGCAUGCCUGUUCGAGCGUCAUUUCAACCCUCAAGCUCUGCUUGGUGUUGGGGCCCUACAGCUGAUGUAGGCCCUCAAAGGUAGUGGCGGACCCUCCCGGAGCCUCCUUUGCGUAGUAACUUUACGUCUCGCACUGGGAUCCGGAGGGACUCUUGCCGUAAAACCCCCAAUUUUCCAAAGGUUGACCUCGGAUCAGGUAGGAAUACCCGCUGAACUUAAGCAUAUCAAAAGGCCGGAGGAA
RNAcentral lists this ribosomal RNA (570 nucleotides) under Colletotrichum siamense. RNAcentral describes it as "eukaryotic LSU rRNA". The stretch from base 197 to 350 matches the Rfam family "5.8S ribosomal RNA". The record is from RNAcentral. Lineage: Eukaryota; Fungi; Ascomycota; Sordariomycetes; Glomerellales; Glomerellaceae.